RNAcentral lists this ribosomal RNA (483 nucleotides) under Neisseria animaloris. RNAcentral describes it as "bacterial SSU rRNA". It matches the Rfam family "Bacterial small subunit ribosomal RNA", at positions 9 to 479 of the family's 1533-position model. Lineage: Bacteria; Pseudomonadati; Pseudomonadota; Betaproteobacteria; Neisseriales; Neisseriaceae. The record is from RNAcentral.
GAGUUUGAUUAUGGCUCAGAUUGAACGCUGGCGGCAUGCUUUACACAUGCAAGUCGAACGGCAGCACGGAAGAGCUUGCUCUUUUGGUGGCGAGUGGCGAACGGGUGAGUAAUACAUCGGAACGUACCGAGUAGUGGGGGAUAACUGUCCGAAAGGAUGGCUAAUACCGCAUAUUCUCUGAGGAGGAAAGCAGGGGACCUUCGGGCCUUGCGCUAUUUGAGCGGCCGAUGUCUGAUUAGCUAGUUGGUGGGGUAAAGGCCUACCAAGGCGACGAUCAGUAGCGGGUCUGAGAGGAUGAUCCGCCACACUGGGACUGAGACACGGCCCAGACUCCUACGGGAGGCAGCAGUGGGGAAUUUUGGACAAUGGGGGGAACCCUGAUCCAGCCAUGCCGCGUGUCUGAAGAAGGCCUUCGGGUUGUAAAGGACUUUUGUCAGGGAAGAAAAGCUUGAAGGUUAAUACCCCUUGAGUGAUGANCGUACC